GACGAACGCUGGCGGCGUGCUUAACACACGCAAGUCGAGCGGUAAGGCCCUUUUUGGGGGUACGACGAGCGGCGAACGGGUGAGUAACACGCGGGUGACCUGCCCUCAGCUCUGGGAUAAGCCUGGGAAACUGGGUCUAAUACUGGAUAUGACCUUUCCUCGCAUGGGGGUUGGGUGGAAAGUUUUUCGGCGUGGGGAGUGGGCCCGCGGCCUAUCAGCUUGUUGGUGGGGUGAUGGCCUACCAAGGCGACGACGGGUAGCCGGCCU
Molecule: ribosomal RNA, 267 nt
Filed under: uncultured bacterium
Lineage: Bacteria
Description: partial 16S ribosomal RNA
Rfam family: Bacterial small subunit ribosomal RNA
Source: RNAcentral